CCUACGGGCGGCAGCAGUGAGGAAUAUUGGUCAAUGGACGAGAGUCUGAACCAGCCAAGUAGCGUGAAGGAUGACUGCCCUAUGGGUUGUAACCUUCUUUUAUAAAGGAAUAAAACGAGGCACGUGUGCCUUUUUGCAUGUACUUUAUGAAUAAGGAUCGGCUAACUCCGUGCCAGCAGCCGCGGUAAUACGGAGGAUCCGAGCGUUAUCCGGAUUUAUUGGGUUUAAAGGGAGCGUAGAUGGGUUGUUAAGUCAGUUGUGAAAGUUUGCGGCUCAACCGUAAAAUUGCAAUUGAUACUGGCAGUCUUGAGUACAGGUGAGGUAGGCGGAAUUCGUGGUGUAGCGGUGAAAUGCUUAGAUAUCACGAAGAACCCCGAUUGCGAAGGCAGCUUACUAAACUGUGACUGACAUUGAUGCUCGAAAGUGUGGGUAUCAAACAGGAUUAGAUACCCUUGUAGUC
Molecule: ribosomal RNA, 460 nt
Filed under: uncultured bacterium
Lineage: Bacteria
Description: partial 16S ribosomal RNA
Rfam family: Bacterial small subunit ribosomal RNA
Source: RNAcentral